This 128-nucleotide ribosomal RNA is filed under the name uncultured fungus. RNAcentral describes it as "partial 5.8S ribosomal RNA". It matches the Rfam family "5.8S ribosomal RNA", at positions 30 to 154 of the family's 154-position model. Rfam says of the family: 5.8S ribosomal RNA (5.8S rRNA) is a component of the large subunit of the eukaryotic ribosome. It is transcribed by RNA polymerase I as part of the 45S precursor that also contains 18S and 28S rRNA. Lineage: Eukaryota; Fungi. The record is from RNAcentral.
GCAUCGAUGAAGAACGCAGCGAAAUGCGAUAAGUAAUGUGAAUUGCAGAAUUCAGUGAAUCAUCGAAUCUUUGAACGCACAUUGCGCCCCCUGGCAUUCCGGGGGGCAUGCCUGUUCGAGCGUCAUUA